AAAUAUACCUGCAACUAGAGCACCGACUGCCACACAAGAUGUCCCAACUUGGAGAAGUAAUUCCACUCUACUUACUUCAAGCCUCCGAGAGCUGAUAAAAGAAUAGAGUACAUGUUCAAAGACAGAAGUGUGAGGGACAUUAAACUCCAAAUCAUCAUGCACUACUGAAAACCAUCACCACCAUUGCCAGGGUAUUAGGCCAUGGUUUUUUCUUGUUUUCCAUCUUCCCCCUACCCCCUCACCUGUGUGGUAGGAAUGAGCCCAGUUUCCCCCAAUUUCCAAUUCUCAUCAACAGAAUCUAGAAAUAAAAAUUUCAGUUACCAUAGGAUUGAAUUUAAAUUUACUAAUGAAGAGUCACGAAUGUAGUUAUAUAGUUUAGAUGCGAUUAUUUUUACUUUCAAUCAUAUGGAAAAUAUAAAAUGAGCAAAUUUUAGAAAUGAUUCACAGUUGUGUUUGAUACAAACAAAUUGUCUGAUCUGACUAUUUUAAUCAAUGCAGGCAUAUAUGAAAAUAGAGAUGCUUUUUACGCGCCAACAAACAUGGUUUCUGACCUUAACAAAUCAUGUGCCUUAAUUCUUUAGGUUCCACCAAAGGCAUUAUUUUUCAGUCUGAAGGCAAACAAAAUAAGCAAGAAGAACUAAAGGCAGUUCAUUCUACAUGCCAGUCAAUAUGAAGCAAGCACAUUCACUAUUGAAUCAUCAGAACUGAUCCUGAGCGCAUUUGUGCAUAUAUGCAAGUGCGUUUCUGUACUGUGUAUUAAAGCUUCAAAACUUCAACUUCAGUUAGUAGUAGUGGCAGCAGCAACAGCAAGAAUUACUAUAAUAAUACCAACAACUUAGUUCCUACAGUAGGGCUUUGUUUGUCAUUUUCCAAGUAUCUCAGCAUGAUUUAAGAUAGCUUAUUCUCAGCAUGAUUUAAGAUAGCUUAUUCCAAAAUCAGUGCUGUACUGAACAUGGAAUGCUAGCAUUUUUGUCUUAAGUUCUAAUGCUAAGAAAAGAACAAAAAUUUAUAAUAUCAUCCACAGUCCAACCUUAAAUUAACAGCAAUAGAAUCUUCCAUUUCUUUUGCAGAA
RNAcentral lists this unclassified non-coding RNA (1072 nucleotides) under Hevea brasiliensis (rubber tree). The record is from RNAcentral. Lineage: Eukaryota; Viridiplantae; Streptophyta; Magnoliopsida; Malpighiales; Euphorbiaceae.